RNAcentral lists this transfer RNA (68 nucleotides) under Astacopsis gouldi. RNAcentral's name for it is "tRNA-Val". The record is from RNAcentral. Lineage: Eukaryota; Metazoa; Arthropoda; Malacostraca; Decapoda; Parastacidae.
CAAAAUAAAGCUAAAGAUUAGUGUUUCAGUUACGUUGAAGAGGUUGUCGUGGUAUCGAUUUAUUUUGA